Molecule: non-coding RNA, 2624 nt
Organism: Taeniopygia guttata (zebra finch)
Lineage: Eukaryota; Metazoa; Chordata; Aves; Passeriformes; Estrildidae
Source: RefSeq, a predicted model, not a curated record
UUAGGCUUAGUGCUGCUAACAGACAAAGAUGAACCAAAAUAAGUACACAGGAACAUUCAGCAUUUACAAACUUCUGAUGUUUUUCAGUUUUCAAUGUCUCUGCUGCUUUCCAUUGUUCUUGCUUCACUAAUGAAAUAUGAGGCCACCUGUGGUGAAGGGAAGAAACACCAAGAAAACAGCCUCUGAAACUGCAGAAGAGGAGGAUGAAGGUAGCUUUCAACUUAUACACAGGGUUCAUCCUGUUCUGACUACCAUUUCUUAUUUCACAGAUAGUGGCUUGGCCUAUAACUUUGCAAAGGGUUAAUUAUUUAGACUAAAGUUUUCUGUGCCAGACAACUGCAUUAGGACACUCAAGCCAAAAUAACUGAGCUGAUUGAAAUUAGGCAGACACGCUGUAUUUUCCUUCCCUAGCAGAUAGUGGCAGCCUUUUCCCAUCAUCCACACUAGACUUAAUACAUGAAGUUGGGCAAAAUAUCAAGUCCCUGACUGAAGCAGAAAGGCAAAGCUCCCAAAAGCACAAUAACAAACUUGACUUAACACCACGUUAAUGCAAGUCUUACCAUCUCUAGUGCACAGUUUCAGCUACCUGAAAAAAAACCUUGGCUAGUCCUAACUUCGAGAAAAGAAAAUAAAACCCACAGGGAUUCUCAAUACUCCACAAUGCUUGGCAAAGGAUGGAUGUCAGGAUUUCCCAGCACAAGAUUCCAGUUUCGGCAACGCAAGAGUGGCACCUACUGUUCAGGCUGUAGCAAACUGCUGGAACAGAGCCACGGUGACUGUGUGCCACCCCUGCAGUGAGAAUAGACCUUCUGGUCUCAAACAGGAGGCUGCAUAGAAACAUGAACAUCCAGCCAAUACUCGGACUAUGCAACUAGACCAAUGUGAAGCCAGAAAGCUUCAGCUGCUUGAAAGUCUCAGGAAAGUUUCUUAAGAACAAGAGAUAAUGAUGGAGUGGGAGAGGACAGAAAAGCUGAACAGAGAAUAGGAAAUUACAGGAGAAAGCAUGGAAGAGGCAGGACCUGAUACAGACAGCUCACUGGAACAAGGCUAGGACUGAGGAGUGAGUACUUGAAAAGGAUAAAGUUUGAGGAAAGCAGACAGAGCAGCAUGCUGACUGUGACAUCCCUGUCACUCAAGCCUAAAACAGCUUGUUCUUGGUGAAUUUCACCUGCUGCUGUCAGCACAGAUGUGUGAUAUCACACACAGACUCAGAUCCUGGAGUACAACAGAUUACUUUACUGGAGUAUAACAGCUACUUUUGUUUGCAGUUCAAGAGAAAGAUGGAAUGGAUGUGUCCAUUACAACAGCUACAGUACCAGCAGGAAACCAAUACUGUGGCAGUCUUUUCAACCCCCUCUAAAUUACAGAUUAAAAAACAACGCAUUAUACCAAGUCCUACAACUAAAGCCAGAAGUGACCACCAAGCUGAGUUCUUUAUGCACCAAGGCCACUACUGGUCUUACUGAUCAAUUUCUUGCAUUCUCCCUAUCUGCCUGUUUCCAUCUGCUUUUCUUUAAUACUUCAGACUACAGCCUUUUUAGAGUCAGCACCACAUCUGCACUAACAGAACAAAGUGAGGUCUAUUACUAUGAUGAAAUAUGAUUAUAAUUACUCUAAUAGAAGUUAUUAUGGUGGCAAAAAAUAAUUUAAAAUAUUUUAAAAUAGUUUUCAAAUUCUGUGGAAUUUCAAGUUCCUGUUUUGCAGGAUAGAGAAAUAAUUUGUCAGGAGUUAAAUGCUGGUUUUUGGCUUCUUAAGCAAUCUGGGUUGUAAAGGUCCCAGAGUAUGACUAUGACUACAUACCUUCAUUGUUUUCUGCUUCUUCCUUUGUUUCUUUGAGAGCCUGUAAAGAUAAUUUUUAAAUUACCAUUUUUUACAGAAAACCCUCAAAACCUAGUACAGUUUCUAAAAAGACAUCAAGCUAUACUUUUCCUUUAUCCUCACAACAUGCUAUUAAGUAGCCACAAAAAGAAAGUUACUCAAGCCAGAAUUAAAACAAUAGGUCUCCCAAACUACUCAUUGCAUUUAGUAAAACAUUUGUUCUGCUCAGACUGAAUCCAAAGAUAAACACCAGUGAGAUAGUUGGGAUUAUGCUCUGUUUCAAAAAUUAAGUUGUGUAACAAUUCUGAUUUUGAGCACAUUCAUUUUCUAUUUAUGCCAGCAAUCAACUGACAGUAAGUACCAAAUCAAUAAGCACGAGCUCUGUGGAAGUCCCUCUGCUUGAAAAAUAACAAACCCUUUUUUUCCUUAACAUAUAACUUUAGGCAUAUGUUAAGGAAACAUAGCAGAGAAAAACUAAGUCUGUUUUAUGGCACUUGAAUGCAGUCAUGCAAAGGCAUGUGUUUUACUGGAACUCUGCUGCUAAGAAGUAUUUCAAAUUACACAAUAAUGACAGCAAUGUAGUAGCAAAUUGUCAGGAGCACCCUCUGAAGGCCACUGAGACUUAGUAAAUCAUGAGUCAUGAUAAAAUUAAAAACAAUUUGAAGUACUUCUGUUUGGGUAUGCCUUCUGUUUCUUCUUCCUCUUUGGUCUGUAUUCCAUCUGCAUCAUCCGAAGGCACAGGAAAUCUCCCUUCCUCCUCUUCCAACUGCUGUCUUAACAGUGACACCAUCUCUCGAUGCUUCUUU